GGCAGCUUUCUGGAUCAUUACUGACACUGAGGAACGAAAGCAUGGGUAGCGAAGAGGAUUAGAUACCCUCGUAGUCCAUGCCGUAAACGAUGUGUGUUAGACGUUGGAAAUUUAUUUUCAGUGUCGCAGGGAAACCGAUAAACACACCGCCUGGGGAGUACGACCGCAAGGUUAAAACUCAAAUGAAUUGACGGGGACCCGCACAAGUAGUGGAGCAUGUGGUUUAAUUCGAAGAUACGCGCAGAACCUUACCAACACUUGACAUGUUCGUCGCGACUCUAAGAGAUUAGAGUUUUCGGUUCGGCCGGACGAAACACAGGUGCUGCAUGGCUGUCGUCAGCUCGUGUCGUGAGAUGUUGGGUUAAGUCCCGCAACGAGCGCAACCCUCACUUUUAGUUGCCAUCAUUAAGUUGGGCACUCUGAAAGAACUGCCAGUGAUAAGCUGGAGGAAGGUGGGGAUGACGUCAAGUCCUCAUGGCCCUUACGUGUUGGGCUACACACGUGCUACAAUGGCAUCUACAACAGGAAGCAAAACGGCAACGUUAAGCAAAUCCCGAAAAGAUGCCUCAGUUCGGAUUGCACUCUGCAACUCGAGUGCAUGAAGCUGGAAUUACUAGUAAUCGUGGAUCAGCGUGCCACGGUGAAUGCGUUCCCGGGUCUUGUACACACCGCCCGUCACACCAUGGGAGUUGGUUCUACCUUAAGGCAAGGUUUCAAACCCUUGACCACGGUAUAGUCAGCGACUGGGGUGAAGUCGUAACAAGGUAACCGUA
This 773-nucleotide ribosomal RNA is filed under the name uncultured bacterium. RNAcentral's name for it is "bacterial SSU rRNA". It matches the Rfam family "Bacterial small subunit ribosomal RNA", at positions 720 to 1504 of the family's 1533-position model. The record is from RNAcentral.